Molecule: non-coding RNA, 125 nt
Organism: Brachypodium distachyon (stiff brome)
Lineage: Eukaryota; Viridiplantae; Streptophyta; Magnoliopsida; Poales; Poaceae
Source: Rfam
GUAUUACUCCCUCCGUCUCAUACUAAGUGACUUUUUAUUACAUGUAUUUAGACGUUUUUUAGGCAUAAAUAUAUUCAUAUUUAGACAAAUUUGAGUCACUUAAUAUGAGACGGAAAGAGUAUGUC